UGAUCUAGAGUAUUUAGAGUACCUAGAAAAUAAAUUUUAUUAUUUUUCGAUAUCAUUUGCCUAGUGAUCGAAUGGGCUCAAAAUCAACAAAUUUCAAUGGUCGUAGUGAGCCGUUUGCAAGUUUAACGGUGUAAAAAUAUCCAAAUUACGUAAAAUUUUGAUAGAAAAUUCUUUAUACUAUAUAAAACAAGAUCAAUAUCUUUGAUUUAAAAUUUUAAUGUCAUAUUAUUACAUUUUGUAAGAUUUUUAUUUUUAGCCGUUGAUUUUGAGCCCUUCGUUUACUAGGCAAAUGAUAUCGUAAAAUCAUAAAAUUUAUUUUCUAGAUAUUUCAAUCACUCUAGAUCAAGUUUAAUGGAGCCGAUUGACGAUUCAAAAGCCGCAACAUCGAAAACGAGCUGGAAGCACGGAAGGCUCCGUGCUUCCAAUAGCAUAGUAGCUUCACUCUAUAUAGAAUUAGGCUGGAAUACUAUUAAUAGUAAAACACUUUUUUUGCUAUCAAGUUUUUAACCCUUGGAUGAAAAAUUGUAAGGUCAGGAUGAUAUUAGUCGGUUAGAGUUGAGUGGUCCUCCUAGGGUUGAGUGGUCCUCACUAGGUUAUAGUAUUUAAUCCAAUGGUUAGAAAUAAUGAAAAGAGUUGAUCCAAAGGCUAAAAAACUGGUAGCAAUAAUAGGAUUUUGCUACUGAUAGUAGCCCAGCCCAACUAUAUAU
This 707-nucleotide long non-coding RNA is filed under the name Ananas comosus (pineapple). Its description in RNAcentral is "long non-coding RNA (ACOM_LNC009927)". Lineage: Eukaryota; Viridiplantae; Streptophyta; Magnoliopsida; Poales; Bromeliaceae. The record is from RNAcentral.